Molecule: microRNA precursor, 78 nt
Filed under: Schistosoma margrebowiei
Lineage: Eukaryota; Metazoa; Platyhelminthes; Trematoda; Strigeidida; Schistosomatidae
Description: mir-3492 microRNA precursor family
Rfam family: mir-3492 microRNA precursor family
Source: Rfam by way of RNAcentral
AGCUUUCUGAAUCUGUGCUGAGAUUUUGCCAAACACCAGCCUAUCAGGAUCGAUGAGACUUUCAAGCUAAGUGAAGCG